This 186-nucleotide ribosomal RNA is filed under the name uncultured bacterium. RNAcentral describes it as "partial 16S ribosomal RNA". It matches the Rfam family "Bacterial small subunit ribosomal RNA", at positions 1317 to 1500 of the family's 1533-position model. The record is from RNAcentral.
UACAUGAAGCUGGAGUUACUAGUAAUCGCAGAUCAGAAUGCUGCGGUGAAUGCGUUCCCGGGUCUUGUACACACCGCCCGUCACACCACGGAAGUUGGGGGCGCCCGAAGCCACUUAGCUAACCCUUUUGGGAAGCGAGUGUCGAAGGUGAAAUCAAUAACUGGGGUGAAGUCGUAACAAGGUAAC